GGAGCUAUGGCAAACAUGGAGAUCUGGUAAUGUACCUGGUAAAGCACCAGGGGCUGUACCUCGCAAAUAAGCUGCAAUGUCCUUAACACACCCAAGUUGCAUAGGCUUACUCACACCCCCACAGCCACCCGUGGGAUGCUGAUGUUGAUAUGUUGUCAUGUGUCGUGUGACAUGCUAUUGUGGGGACAUAUUGUCGCUCUGAACUGGAAAUAAUGUGGAUCUAAUGUUACUAAAAAUGCUUGUCUGU
Molecule: non-coding RNA, 247 nt
Organism: Pelobates cultripes (western spadefoot toad)
Lineage: Eukaryota; Metazoa; Chordata; Amphibia; Anura; Pelobatidae
Source: the annotation of a GenBank genome assembly